UAGUAUUACCCAGCAGCCCCUGCCCCACCAUCUGAGCCCCUCGCCUGGGUGCUGCCCAGUGCCCUCGGUAGAGACAGGUUCCCCCCACCUCCCCCCACAAUCAUGGAUCACUCCUUCAGUGGUGCCCCCCGCUUCCUAACUCGGCCCAAGGCCUUCAUGGUGUCGGUGGGGAAGGAUGCCACGCUGAGCUGCCAGAUCAUAGGCAACCCCACGCCACAAGUCAGCUGGGAGAAGGACCGGCAGCCAGUGAAGGCAGGCGCUCGCUUCCGCCUGGCCCAGGACGGGGACCUGUACCGCCUCACCAUCCUGGACCUGGCGCUGGGCGAUAGCGGGCAGUAUGUAUGCCGUGCGCGCAAUGCCAUCGGCGAGGCCUUCGCGGCAGUCGGCCUGCAGGUGGACGCUGAGGCAGCGUGCGCCGAGCAGGCACCCCACUUCCUGCUGCGACCCACAUCCAUCCGCGUGCGCGAGGGCGCUGAAGCCACUUUCCACUGCCGAGUGCGCGGUUCGCCACCUAUGUCGGUGAGCUGGGCCAAGGAUGGGAGGCGCCUGGGCUCGCCAGACGCCCCUCGAGUGCGCGUGGAGGCGAGCGGCGAGGAGGCCGCGCUGCGCAUCCAGGACGCGAGACCGCGCGACAGUGGCACCUACAUAGUGCACGCAGAGAACCCGCUGGGCGCAGCUAGCGCCGCGGCGGGGCUCACAGUAGACGCGGAUGCAGACGCGGCAAGCCCACCCGGGGCCUCCACAGCCAUGCUCUUGGCGCACUUGCAGCGGCGGCGCGAGGCUAUGCGCGCGGAGGGUGCCCCGGGCUCGCCUCCCAGCAUCGGGACACGCACCUGUACGGUGACUGAGGGCAAGCACGCGCGCCUCAGCUGCUUCGUGACAGGAGAGCCCAAGCCUGAGAUAGUGUGGAAGAAGGAUGGGCAGCUGGUGGCCGAGGGCCGGCGACACUUAGUGUAUGAGGACGCGCAGGAGAACUUCGUGCUCAAGAUCCUCUUCUGCAAGCAGUCAGACUGCGGCCUCUAUACUUGCACUGCGUCCAACCUCGUGGGCCAGACCUACAGUUCCGUGUUGGUUGUUGUGCGAGAGCCUGCGGUGCCUUUCAAGAAGCGGUUGCAGGACCUGGAAGUGCCAGAGAAAGCGUCCGCCACGUUCCAGUGUGAGGUGCUGCUGCCGGCCACCGAGUCUGCGUGGUACAAGGAGGAGACGCGGCUGUGGGCCAGCGACAAGUAUCGCAUCGAGGAAGCAGGCACCGAGCGCCGGCUGACUGUGCUCAACGUCUCUUCCGACGACGAUGCCGUGUACAUCUGUGAGACAGCGGAGGGCAGUCGCACGGUGGCUGAGCUGGCGGUGCAAGGCAACCUUCUCCGAAAGCUCCCAAGGAAGACAGCUGUGCGAGUGGGAGACACAGCCAUGUUCUGUGUGGAGCUGGCCAGGCCAGAAGGCCCCAUCCACUGGCUGCGGAACCAGAAGGAGGUGGUGGCUGGGGGCCGAGUGGCCAUCACUGCUGAAGGCACAUGCCACACGCUCAUCAUCUCCCAGUGCAGCCUGGAGGAUGUGGGUGAGGUGGCCUUUGUGGCUGGGGACUGCCGGACGUCCACCCAGUUCUGUGUGUCGGCCCCCAGAAGGCCGCCUCUGCAUGCUCCUGAGGCCCCAGUGGUGAAGGCCAGAACGGAGAGCUCUGUGACCCUUGGCUGGUCCCCACCGGCCCAUGGGGACCGCCCUGUGGCUAUCAAUGGCUACCUGGUAGAGAAGAGGCGACUGGGUGCCUACACCUGGACCCGGUGCCAUGAAGACGAGUGGGUGGCCAUGCCUGAGCUGACUGUGGCCGGUGUGGCUGAAGAGGGUGAAUUCCAGUUCCGGGUGUCAGCUGUGAACAGCUUUGGCCAGAGCCCCUACCUCGAGUUCCCAGGGACUGUACACCUGGUCCCCCAGCUGGCUGUGAAGACACCUCUGAAGGCAGUGGAGGCGGUAGAAGGCGGCGAGGUGACCUUUUCUGUGGACCUCACUGUGGCCUCAGCAGGGGAGUGGUUCCUGGAUGGGCAGGCCCUGAAGGCCAGCAAUAUGUAUGUGAUCCACUGUGAUGGCACCCGGCACACUCUCACCAUCCGCUCAGUACCUGUCAGCCUGCAUGGUGUUGAACUCAAGUUCGUGGCCAAUGGCAUUGAGAGCAGCAUCCGCAUGGAGGUCCGAGCAGCCCUUGGGCUGACAACCAAGCAUCCAGCUGCGGCAGUGGCAGCACGGGAGGUGUUGGCUCGUCUGCAUGAGGAGGCCCAGCUCCUGGCCGAGCUCUCAGACCAGGCUGCAGCCGUGACAUGGCUCAAGGAUGGACAUGCACUACCCCCAGGCCCCAAGUAUGAGGUGCAGGCAUCAGCCGGGCAGCGGGCACUGCUGGUGCGGGAUGUGAAGAGAGAAGAUGCAGGCCUGUACGAGUGCAUCAGCCAUGGGGACCGCAUCGCCUACCAGUUGUUGGUGCAAGAGCCCUCAGCGGUGUUUGCCAGGGAGCAGCCAGCACGCAGUGAAGUGCAGGCCAUAGUAGGGGACAGUGCCACACUGAACUGUGAGGUGGCCCAGGCCCAGACAGAGGUGACAUGGUACAAGGAUGGGAAGAAGUUUAGUGCAAACGCAAAAGUGUGCAUGGAGGCCAAAGGCUGUUCCCAGAGGCUGGUGGUGCAGCAGGCGGGAAAGGCAGAUGCUGGGGAGUACAGCUGUGAGGCCAGGGACCAGAGGAUCUCCUUCUACCUGGUACCUGGAUUAGUGUUCGGCAAAGUAGCUGAGGUGAGGGCCAGUGGCAUGCUAAGCUGUGAGGUAGCCCAGGUCCAGACAGAGGUGACAUGGUUCAAGAAAGGAAAGAAGCUGAGUUCAAGCUCAAAAGUGUAUUCUCAUAAGCUUAUUCUAGUUUUGUGUCUCACACUAUAUUCCUUUCUGUGCCCAGAACCCUCUGCAGUAUUUAUCAAGGGGCAGCCAGCGCAUAAGGAGGUGCAGGCUGUCGCGGGGGCCAGCACCACACUGAGCUGCGAGGUGACCCAGGCCCAGACGGAGGUCACAUGGUACAAGAAUAAGAAGAAGCUGAGUUCGAGCUCAAAUGUGCGUGUGGAGGCCAAGGGCUGCACCCGGAGGCUGGUGGUGCAGCAGGCGGGCAAGGCGGAUGCCGGGGAGUACAGCUGUGAGGCCGGGGGCCAGAAGGUGUCCUUCCACCUGAAUGUCACAGAGCCCUCAGUGGUGUUCGCCAAGGAGCAGCCAGCUCGCAGUGAAGUGCAGUCUGUGGCAGGGGCCAGUGCCGUGAUGAGCUGUGAGGUGGCCCAGGCCCAGACGGAGGUGACUUGGUACAAGGAUGGGAAGAAGCUGAGUUCAAGCUCAAAAGUGCGUGUAGAGGCCAAAGGCUGCAACCGGAGGCUGGUGGUGCAGCAGGCAGGCAAGGCAGAUGCCGGGGAAUAUAGCUGUGAGGCUGGGGGCCAGAAGGUCUCCUUCCAUCUGGAUGUCACAGAGCCCUCGGUGGUGUUUGCCAAGGAGCAGCCAGCACGCAGUGAAGUGCAGGCCAUGGCAGGGGCCAGUGCCACACUGAACUGUGAGGUGGCCCAGGCCCAGACGGAGGUGACAUGGUACAAGGAUGGGAAGAAGCUGAGUUCGAGCUCAAAAGUGCAUGUGGAGGCCAAGGGCUGCACCCGGAGGCUGGUGGUGCAGCAGGCGGGCAAGGCAGAUGCCGGGGAGUACAGCUGUGAGGCUGGGGGUCAGAAGGUCUCCUUCCACCUGGAUGUCACAGAGCCCUCAGUGGUGUUUGCCAAGGAGCAGCCGGCACACAGUGAAGUGCAGGCCAUGGCGGGGGCCAGUGCCACACUGAGCUGUGAGGUGGCCCAGGCCCAGACGGAGGUGACAUGGUACAAGGAUGGGAAGAAACUGAGUUCAAGCUCAAAAGUGCAUGUGGAGGCCAAGGGCUGCACCCGGAGGCUGGUGGUGCAGCAGGCGGGCAAGGCAGAUGCCGGGGAGUACAGCUGCGAGGCUGGGGGUCAGAAAGUCUCCUUCCACCUGGAUGUCACAGAGCCCUCAGUGGUGUUUGCCAAGGAACAGCUGGCCUGCAGUGAAGUGCAAGCCAUGGCAGGGGCCAGUGCCACGCUGAGCUGUGAGGUGGCCCAGGCCCAGACGGAGGUGACUUGGUACAAGGAUGGGAAGAAGCUGAGUUCGAGCUCAAAAGUGCGUGUGGAGGCCAAGGGCUGCAACCGGAGGCUGGUGGUGCAGCAAGUGGGCAAGGCAGAUGCUGGGGAGUACAGCUGCGAGGCUGGGGGUCAGAAGGUCUCCUUCCACCUGGAUGUCACAGAGCCCUCAGUGGUGUUUGCCAAGGAGCAGCCAGCACGCACUGAAGUGCAAGCCAUGGCCGGAGCCAGUGCCACACUGAGCUGUGAGGUGGCCCAGGCCCAGACAGAGGUGACAUGGUACAAGGAUGGGAAGAAGCUGACUUCAAGCUCAAAAGUGCGUGUGGAGGCCAAGGGCUGCAACCGGAGGCUGGUGGUGCAGCAGGCGGGCAAGGCAGAUGCUGGGGAGUACAGCUGCGAGGCUGGGGGUCAGAAGGUCUCCUUCCACCUGGACAUCACAGGUCAGUUCUUGGGGAGGAUACUAAGCUCUUCCAUUCAGAGCUUGGUGUUUGCCAAGGAGCAGCCAUCAAGCAGUGCAGUGCAGGCUGUGACGGGGGCCAGUGCCACACUGAACUGUGAGGUGGCCCAGGCCCAGACGGAGGUGACAUGGUACAAGGAUGGGAAGAAGCUGAGUUCGAGCUCAAAAGUGCGUGUGGAGGCCAAGGGCUGCACCCGGAGGCUGGUGGUGCAGCAGGCGGGCAAGGCAGAUGCCGGGGAGUACAGCUGCGAGGCUGGGGGUCAGAAGGUCUCCUUCCACCUGGAUGUCACAGAUCCCUCAGUGGUGUUUGCCAAGGAGCAGCCAGCAUGCACUGAAGUGCAGGCCAUGGCGGGGGCCAGUGCCACACUGAACUGUGAGGUGGCCCAGGCCCAGACGGAGGUGACAUGGUACAAGGAUGGGAAGAAGCUGAGUUCAAGCUCAAAAGUGCAUGUGGAGGCCAAGGGCUGCACCCGGAGGCUGGUGGUGCAGCAGGCGGGCAAGGCAGAUGCCGGGGAGUACAGCUGCAAGGCUGGGGGUCAGAAGGUCUCCUUCCACCUGGAUGUCACAGAGCCCUCAGUGGUGUUCGCCAAGGAGCAGCCGGCAUGCAGUGAGGUGCAGGCUGUGACAGGGGCCAGUGCCACACUGAACUGUGAGGUGGCCCAGGCCCAGACGGAGGUGACAUGGUACAAGGAUGGGAAGAAGCUGAGUUCGAGCUCAAAAGUGCGUGUGGAGGCCAAGGGCUGUACCCGGAGGCUGGUGGUGCAGCAGGCGGGCAAGGCAGAUGCCGGGGAGUACAGCUGUGAGGCUGGGGGCCAGAAGGUCUCCUUCCACCUGGAUGUCUCAGAGCCCAUGGAGGUGUUUGCCAAGGAGCAGCCGGCAUGCAGUGAAGUGCAGGCCAUGGCAGGGGCCAGUGCCACUCUGAGCUGUGAGGUGGCCCAGGCCCAGACAGAGGUGACAUGGUACAAGGAUGGGAAGAAGCUAACUUCGAGCUCAAAAGUGCAUGUGGAGGCCAAGGGCUGCACCCGGAGGCUGAUGGUGCAUCAGGCGGGCAAGGCAGAUGCUGGGGAAUACACCUGCAAAGCUGGGGGCCAGAAGGUCUCCUUCCACCUGGAUGUCACAGAGCCUAUGGUGGUGUUUGCCAAGGAGCAGUUAAUGUGCAGGGAGGUACAGGCCAAGGCAGGAGCCAGCACCACACUGAGCUGCGAGGUGGCCCAGGCCCAGACGGAGGUGACAUGGUACAAGGACGGGAAGAAGUUGAGUGCAAGCUCGAAAGUGCACGUGGAGGCCAAGGGCUGCACCCGGAGGCUGGUGGUGCAGCAGGUGGGCAAGGCAGAUGCUGGGGAGUACAGCUGCGAAGCCGGGGGCCAGAAGGUCUCUUUCCACCUAGAUGUCACAGGUGGGUGCCAGGCCCUGGAAAGACCAAGACGGAGGGAACCUCUGGUGGUCAAGGAACAUGAGGACAUCGUCCUGACAGCCACACUGGCCACACCCUCUGUGGCUGCGGUGACAUGGCUCAAGGAUGGCGUGGAAAUUCGCCGCAGCAAGCGGCAUGAGAUGGCCAGCCUGGGGGAAACCCACACCUUGACUGUGCAUGGCGCGCAGACCCUGGACAGUGCAGUCUACAGCUGCCGCGUUGGCGCCGAGGGGCAGGACUUUCCGGUGCAGGUGGAAGAGGUGGCUGCCAAGUUCUGUCGUCCUUUGGAGUCUGUGAGCGGGGAGCUAGGCGGCACGGUGACGCUGACCUGCGAGCUGAGCCCUGCUCAGGCCGAAGCGGUGUGGCGCUGCGGAAACACGCAACUCCGGGCUGGCAAACGUUUCCAGAUGGCGGCUGCGGGACUUCAGCGCUCUCUCACUGUGACCGGCCUGCGAGCGGAGGAUGCUGGGGAGUACGUGUGCCAGAGUCGCGACGACCGCACCAGCGCCACACUCACCGUUAGAGUGCCUCGCAUGGUCAAGUUCACGUCCCCGCUGAGCGCAGUGGUUGCAGAGGAGGGCUGCGAGGCUAACUUCCAGUGCGUGGUGACCCCCAGCGAUGUGGCAGUCACGUGGUUCCGGGAUGGCCUUCAGCUACAGCUCAGCGAGAAGUUUCUCAUAUCUCAGAGGGGUGCCAGCCACAGCCUGACCAUCUCGAGCCUGGCCUUGGAGGACUCCGGCCAGAUCACCGCGGAGGCUGAGGGUGUCAAGUCUACAGCUGCGCUCAGGGUCCGAGAGGCUCCAGUGCUGUUCAAAAAGAAGCUGGAGCCACAGACCGUGGAGGAGCGGAGCUCGGUGACCAUGGCAGUAGAGCUGACACGGCAGUGGCCAGAGGUCAAGUGGACACGCAAUGCUGCGGCCCUGGUACCUGGCGAGAAUGUGGAGAUCCACGCAGAGGGCAAGAGUCACCGCUUGGUUCUCCACAGUGUGGGUUUUGCUGACCGUGGUUUCUAUGGCUGUGAGACACCAGAUGACAAGACACAGGCCAAACUGACAGUGGAAAUGCGCCAGGUCCGGCUUGUGCGGGGCUUGCAAGCAGUGGAGGCACAGGAGCAGGGUGUCGCCACAAUGGAAGUAGAACUGUCUCAUGCCGAUGUGGAGGGCAGCUGGACUCGAGACGGCCUUCGACUCCAGCCAGGACCCACGUGCCAGCUGGCAGUGCAUGGCCCCACCCAUAGCCUCACACUGUCACAGCUGCAGCGGCAGGAUGGAGGCCUUGUCACCUUCAGGGCAGAGGGCGUGCACACAUCAGCGCAACUGGUGGUCACUGGCCGAAAUGUCCAGAUCGUGAGGCCCCUGGAAGACGUGGAAGUGAUGGAGAAGGAGGGUGCCACCUUCUCCUGUGAGGUCUCCCAUGAUGAGGUGCCUGCCCACUGGUUCCGGGAGGGCAUUAAGCUUCGACCCACUGAUAAUGUGCGCAUCCGCCAGGAAGGUGAGAUGGACUUUAGGAGGACUUCUCCCCCUUCCCACUCCCAGGCCACCUCUCCCUUUACUGCCAAGUGGUCUCUUUUCCCAGGAAGGACAUACACUCUCAUUUAUCGGAGGGUCCUGGUGGGUGAUGCAGGGGAAAUCAAAUUUGUAGCUGAAAAUGCAGAAUCACGAGCCCAGCUCCGAGUCAAAGAGCUGCCAGUGGCCAUCCUACGCCCGCUGAGGGAUAAGAUCGCAAUGGAGAAGCACCGAGGUGUGCUCGAGUGCCAGAUGUCGAGGGCCAGCGCCCAGGUGCGGUGGUUCAAGGGCAGUGUGGAACUGCAGCCGGGAGCCAAAUAUGAGAUGAUCAGUGAUGGCCUUUACCGCAAGCUAGUCAUCAAUGCUGUCCAGCCUGAGGAUGAGGACACGUAUACCUGUGAUGCUGGCGAUGUUAAGACCAGUGCCCAGUUCUUUGUGGAAGAGCAAUCCAUCACUAUCGUGCGGGGCCUGCAGGAUGUGACGGUGAUGGAGCCUGCCCCUGCUUGGUUCGAGUGUGAGCUCUCCAUCCCCUCAGUGCGGCCUCCUAAGUGGCUCCUGGGGAAGACGGUUCUGCAGGCAGGGGCUGAUGUGGGAAUAGAGCAGGAGGGCACAGUGCACCGACUGACUCUGCGGCGGACCUUCUCCACCAUGACGGGGCCAGUGCACUUCACCAUUGGCAAAUCACGCUCCACGGCCUCCCUGGUUGUCUCAGACAUUCCCACGGUGCUCACGCGGCCACUGGAGCCCAAGGUGGGACGUGAGCUGCAGUCGGUAGUUCUGUCUUGUGACUUCAAGCCGCCCCCCAAGGCAGUGCAGUGGUACAAGGAGGAGACACCCUUGGCGCCAUCUGGCAAGUUCAAGAUGAGGCUGGAGGGUCACAUGGCAGAGCUGCGAGUCCUGAGGCUCACACCCGCAGAUGCUGGUGUUUACCGGUGCCAGGCUGGCAGCGCCCAGAGCAGCGCUGAGGUCACCGUGGAAGUGCGGGAAGUGAUGGUGACACAGCCACUGCAAGAUUUGGAGGUCACAGAGGAGGGCUCUGCCUGCUUCUCCUGCGAGCUUUCCCACGAGGAUGAGGAGGUGGAAUGGUCACUCAAUGGGACGCCACUGUAUAACGACAGCUUCCAUGAGAUUACCCACGAGGGCCGCCGCCACACGCUGGUGCUGAAGCGGGUCCGGCAGGCUGAUAGGGGCACUGUAUGUGCCUCCUCCCCUAAGGUUACAGCCUCAGCCCACCUGGAGGUCAAAGGGAAGCCGGUGGUGUUCCUGAAGGCGCUGGAUGAUAUGUCUGUGGAGGAGCAGGGCACACUGGCCUUGCAGUGUGAGGUCUCUGACCACCAGGCCCAUGUGGUGUGGCGAAAGGAUGGUGUGGAGCUGGGCCCCAGUGACAAGUAUGACUUCCUGCAUACAGCGGGCACUCGGGGACUUGUGGUGCAUGACCUGAGCCGGGACGAUGCUGGCCUGUACACCUGCGACGUGGGCACUGAUGAGACCCAUGCCCGUGUCAGCGUGCACGAUCUGCAUGUGGGCAUCACCAAAAGACUGAAGACAGUGGAGGUGCUGGUGGGUGAGAGCUGCAGCUUUGAAUGUGUCCUGUCCCACGAGAACACUGGCGAUGUGGCUGUGUGGACAGUUGGUGGGAAAACGGUGGCCAGCUCUGACCGUUUCCAGGCCACUCGCCAGGGCCGCAAGUACACUCUGGUUGUCCGAGACGCUGUGCCAAGUGACGCUGGGGAGGUGGUCUUCUCUGUGCGGGACCUUACCUCCAAGGCCUCGCUCAUCGUCAGAGAGAGGCUGGUAGACAUCGUGAAGCCACUGGAAGACCAGCAGGCCAUGCUGGGUGAGGAUGUGGUGCUGAGGUGUGAGCUUUCCCGGGAGGGAAUCCCAGUGCACUGGCUGAAGGAUGGGAAGGCCAUUCGCAAGAGUAAGAAGUAUGAGGUGCUCACUGAAGGCACCUGGGCCAUGCUAGUUGUCCAUGCAGCCUCACUCAAAGAUUGUGGGGAGUACACGUGUGAGACAGAGUCUUCCAAAAGCACAGCCAGCCUCCACUUGGAAGAAAAGCCAAAUCGGUUCACAGAGGAGCUGGCUGACCUGCAGGUGGAGGAGAAGGGCACAGCUGUGUUUGCCUGCAAGACGGAGCGUCCUGCAGCCUCAGUGACCUGGUGCAAGGGCCUCACAGAGCUGCGAGCCUCAGGGAAGCACAUGCCCAGCCAGGAGGGCCUGACCUUGAGGCUCACCAUCAGUGCCCUGGAGAAGGCAGACAGUGACACCUAUACCUGUAACAUUGGCCAGGCCCAGUCCCAGGCCCGGCUUCUGGUGCAAGGCCAGAAAGUGUUCAUUAUGGAGGACCUGGAGGACACGGAGGUGCAAGAGGGCUCCUCGGCCACCUUCUGCUGCCGCAUCUCCCCUGCCGACUAUAAGCCCGUCCACUGGUUCUUGGACAAAACCCCCCUGUAUGCCAACGAACUCAAUGAAAUUGAGGCCCAGCCUGGUGGCUACCAUGUACUGACCCUGCGGCAGCUGGCACUCAAGGAUUCAGGCACUGUCCACUUUGAGGCAGGCGACCAGCGGGCCUCGGCUGCCUUGAGGGUCACAGAGAAGCCAAGUGUUUUCUCCCAGGAGCUUACAGAUGUCACAGUCACAGAGGGGGAGGAUCUGACCCUGGUCUGUGAGACUGCUGCCUUAGACAACCCUGUGUGCUGGACCAAGGAUGGGAAGGCCCUGCGGCCAUCGGCCCGGUGCCGGCAGACCUAUGAGGGCCGCCGGGCCCAGUUGGUCAUCACUGACACCACCCUGCAGGACAGCGGGCGCUACAAAUGUGAGACUGGGGGUGCCUGGAGCAGCUCCAUUGUCAGGGUCCAUGCUCGGCCAGUGUGGUUCCGAGAGGGGCUGAAGGACAUGGAGAUACUGGAGGGUGGAGCUGCCACACUACGCUGCAUGCUGUCAUCAGUGGCCAUGCCUGUGGAGUGGCGUUGUGGAGAUGAGGUUCUGAAGCCUGGGGGCAAGUACAGUCUGAGACAGGAAGGUACCAUGCUGGAGCUGGUGGUCCGGGACCUGCGGCCUCAGGACACUGGGCAGUACUGUUGCUGCUUUGGGGACCAGAUGACAUCAGCCAAACUCACCGUGAAGGGUGAGUAUCCUCACCCACACUAUGAUGUUCUGUGUCCAUUGGACUUUGUUACAGCCCUGCCUGCUGAGUUCAUAGGAAGACUGAGAAGCAAGGAGGCCAAAGAAGGGGUCACAGCCACGCUGCGCUGUGAGCUGAGUAAGGAGGCCCCAGUGGAGUGGAAGAAGGGGCCUGAGACCCUCAGAGCUGGGGGCAGAGUGAGUCUGAAGCAGGAAGGAGCUGUGUGUGAACUGGAGAUUCAGGACCUGACCGUGGCAGAUGCCGGGGAGUACUCAUGCGUGUGUGGGCAGGAGAGAACCUCGGCCACACUCACCGUCACGGGUAAAGACUCCCUGCCUGCUGAGUUCAUAAGAAGACUGAGAAGCAAGGAGUUCAUGGAAGGGACCACAGCCACGCUGCACUGUGAGCUGAGCAAGGCGGCCCCCGUGGAGUGGAGGAAGGGACCCGAGACCCUGAGAGCUGGGGACAGAGUGAGCCUGAGGCAGGAUGGAGUCAUGUGUGAGCUGGAGAUCCGUGGCCUGAUGGUGGCAGAUGCUGGGGAGUACUCAUGCGUAUGUGGGCAGGAGAGAACAUCGGCCUCACUGACCGUCCAGGGUAAAGACUGUGUGCAGCCAUACAGAGCGGAAGCUUCGUGUCUGAGGGAUUGCUCAUGUCCUCUAGUCUUCCCUUUCUCUUUGCCCACCAAGUUCGUAAAGGGCCUGAGGAAGGAAGAGGCCACAGAAGGGACCACGGUCACACUGCACUGUGAGCUGAGCAGGGCGGCCCCUGUGGAGUGGAGGAAAGGGUCUGAGACCCUCAGAUCUGGGAACAGAGUGGGCCUGAGGCAGGAUGGAGCCCUGUGUGAGCUGGAGAUCCGUGGCCUGACCAUGGCAGACACCGGAGAGUACUCAUGCGUGUGCGGGCACGAGAGGACCUCAGCCAUGCUCAUUGUCAGGGCCCUGACUGCCAAGUUCACAAAGGGUCUGAGGAAUGAAGAGGCCACAGGAGGGGCCAUGGCCAUACUGUGCUGUGAGCAGAGCAGGACAGGCCCUGUGGAGUUGAAGAAGUGGCCUGAGACCCUCUGGGAUGGAAGCAGAGUGAGCCUGAGGCAGGAAGGGGCUGUGGUGGAUGCCAGGGAGUACUUAUGCAUGUGCGGGCAGGAGAGGACCUUGGGGCCAUGCUUACUGUUGAGAUUCAUACAAAGUAUGAGGCCUGAGGAGUUCACAGAUGGGGGCUGGGCUGAGGGAAGCCAUCAUCUACAGUAUGUCUUUGCCCUGCCCACUAAUUUCACAAAGGGCCUGAGGAAUGAAGAAGCCAUGGAAAGGGCCACAGCCACCUUGUGUUGUGAUCUGAGAAAGGUGGCCCCUGUGAUGUGGAGGAAGGGGCCUGAGAUCCUCAUAUCUGGGGACAGAGUGAGCCUGGGACAGUAUGGGGCCACAUAUGAGCUGGAUAUCCAUGGUUUGGUUGUGGCGGAUGCUGGACAUGUGUGUCUGGCCAGGAGAGGACACUGGCCAAGCUGGCCAUCAGGCCUAAAGACUGAAUGUGGCCGCCUGAGUGACUUCUCUCUGUGUUUUUCCAAUGUCAAUGGUCACUACCCUGUACAUACAGAAUCCACCUCCUGCAAGGCACCAGUAGACAGGCAUCAUGGUCCAGGAGAGCUUCCCUGGCAUCUGGAAUGGCUGGGGCUGUGGAUAAGCCUAGGAUCUGGACCCCGGUUGUAA
This 12348-nucleotide long non-coding RNA is filed under the name Sus scrofa (pig). Its description in RNAcentral is "lncRNA (ENSSSCG00030057135.1)". The record is from RNAcentral. Lineage: Eukaryota; Metazoa; Chordata; Mammalia; Artiodactyla; Suidae.